RNAcentral lists this long non-coding RNA (368 nucleotides) under Pongo abelii (Sumatran orangutan). RNAcentral describes it as "lincRNA". The record is from RNAcentral. Lineage: Eukaryota; Metazoa; Chordata; Mammalia; Primates; Hominidae.
GCGGCCGCCCGGAGCCCAGCGCCUCGCAACUUUGCCCGGGCUCCGAGCGUCGCGGGGCGCGUUCUCCGACACGGAGAAUUCGUGUGAGCCGACUGGCCUCGACCUGACCUGCCCCUCGUAGGACAACAAGCAAAACCGCUGGUGCAGGGUUUGCGAGUAGCUGGUUGCGUCCGCCGGGACCCGACAGACCCGGCAGGCCCAGAAAACUCCGGGACUGUCUGGGGAACGCGCCCGGCCCAUCUCGGCUGGGGCGCUCGGAGCUGGGAGAGGGCACAGAGCCUCCACCCAGGCGGGAGCAUCCCAGAGCCCGAGGUGCGGAGCAGCAUGGAGGGCCCGAGGCGGGCGGCGCCAGUGCCGGAGUCUACCCA